This 254-nucleotide ribosomal RNA is filed under the name uncultured bacterium. Its description in RNAcentral is "partial 16S ribosomal RNA". It matches the Rfam family "Bacterial small subunit ribosomal RNA", at positions 524 to 776 of the family's 1533-position model. The record is from RNAcentral.
UACGUAGGGGGCGAGCGUUACCCGGAUUUACUGGGCGUAAAGCGCGUGUAGGCGGCUGGUCAAGCGUGGUGUGAAAUCUCCGGGCUCAACCCGGAAACUGCAUUGCGAACUGACCUAGCUGGAGUGCAGGAGAGGGCAGCGGAAUUCCCGGUGUAGCGGUGAAAUGCGUAGAUAUUGGGAAGAACACCGGUGGCGAAGGCGGCCAUCUGGACCGUAUCUGACGCUGAGGCGCGAAAGCGUGGGGAGCAAACAGG